This 508-nucleotide ribosomal RNA is filed under the name Fusarium oxysporum. RNAcentral's name for it is "eukaryotic LSU rRNA". The stretch from base 191 to 344 matches the Rfam family "5.8S ribosomal RNA". Lineage: Eukaryota; Fungi; Ascomycota; Sordariomycetes; Hypocreales; Nectriaceae. The record is from RNAcentral.
UGUAACAAGGUCUCCGUUGGUGAACCAGCGGAGGGAUCAUUACCGAGUUUACAACUCCCAAACCCCUGUGAACAUACCACUUGUUGCCUCGGCGGAUCAGCCCGCUCCCGGUAAAACGGGACGGCCCGCCAGAGGACCCCUAAACUCUGUUUCUAUAUGUAACUUCUGAGUAAAACCAUAAAUAAAUCAAAACUUUCAACAACGGAUCUCUUGGUUCUGGCAUCGAUGAAGAACGCAGCAAAAUGCGAUAAGUAAUGUGAAUUGCAGAAUUCAGUGAAUCAUCGAAUCUUUGAACGCACAUUGCGCCCGCCAGUAUUCUGGCGGGCAUGCCUGUUCGAGCGUCAUUUCAACCCUCAAGCACAGCUUGGUGUUGGGACUCGCGUUAAUUCGCGUUCCCCAAAUUGAUUGGCGGUCACGUCGAGCUUCCAUAGCGUAGUAGUAAAACCCUCGUUACUGGUAAUCGUCGCGGCCACGCCGUUAAACCCCAACUUCUGAAUGUUGACCUCGG